This is a non-coding RNA of Hippoglossus stenolepis (Pacific halibut), 935 nucleotides long. Lineage: Eukaryota; Metazoa; Chordata; Actinopteri; Pleuronectiformes; Pleuronectidae. The record is from the annotation of a RefSeq genome assembly.
AAACCAUUUCCUCUGAUGCUCUUUCAUUCAUUUCUUAUUUCAGAGUCUGCUGCCAACAGUUUUCUGACUCAGAUUGACACAGUCAAGUCUGUUAGUCUUGGAGGGACUGUGAACAUCGGAGCCACAGGGAGUUCAGAUAUUGGUGCUGACCUCAGUUGGUACCUUCAGAAACCUGGACAGGCUCCCAAGCUUCUUAUAUACUAUGCAUCAACUCUAUAUUCAGGAACACCAGCUCGGUUUAGUGGCAGUGGAAGCAGCUCUGACUUCUCUUUGACCAUCAGUGGAGUUCAGAGUGAAGAUGCAGCAGUUUACUACUGUCAGAGCUACCAUGUAGUAAGCAGAGCAGAUGUGUUGACUUUCGGUGGAGGAACCAAACUCGUCAGUAACUUGGGUGUGGUGCGGCCCACCCUGACCGUCCUCCCCCCCUCCAGUGAAGAGCUGCAGCAGGGCAGUGCCACUGUGGUGUGUCUGGCCAGCGGGGGCUUCCCCUCAGCCUGGAGCCUGGGCUGGAAGGUGGGGGGCAGCAGCAGCUCCUCAGGGGUGUCUCACAGCCCGGGGGUCCUGGGGAGGGGCGGCCACUACAGCUGGAGCAGCACCAUGAGCCUCCCUGCAGAUCAGUGGAGGAAGGCGGGCUCAGUGAGCUGUGAGGCCAGUCUGACCGGACAGAGCCCUGUCGCUCAAACCCUGGACCCUGACCGCUGCUCGGAGUAGAGAGACGACCGGAUGGAGUCAUUGUGCUCUACUGUGGGUCCGUGUGAUUUACAUGUGUUCUACUGCAGCUCUGCAUGUCUUCAUGUCUUUUCUUCAACUCAUUAUGACAGUCCAAUGCUGUAUUGUGCUACUUUUGAAACAAGAAUAAAUAUUUCAUGUUCUCAUGUCAUUUGUUUUUCACAUUUCUAUUUUUACUUUACUAAAAUAAAAUAUAUCAUCACCAA